Molecule: non-coding RNA, 69 nt
Organism: Podarcis lilfordi (Lilford's wall lizard)
Lineage: Eukaryota; Metazoa; Chordata; Lepidosauria; Squamata; Lacertidae
Source: the annotation of a GenBank genome assembly
GCCAUAGUUCAGUGGCAGAGCAUCUGUUUUGCAUGCAGAAGGUGCUUGGUUCAACCCCCAGUAUCUCCA